AGACCCCACUGCUAUCGGGAUGAGACUAGACAUGCUAGUCGUGCGUCUCUAGCUAUGACGAGACGCGCGCACAGCUCAGUACACGUGCUACCUGCCCUAGGACAAAGAUAAUCCCGGGAAACUGGGCUAUAUUGAUAGGUGAAGAAUUCUGGAAUGUAUCUCGCCAAAGGGUGCCUAGGUCAUGCUUCUGGGCAUUGCCUAAGGAUGGGGCCGCGUCCGAUCAGGUUGUUGGUGAGGUAAUGGCUCACCAAGCCUAUAACCGGUGCGGGCCGUGAGAGCGGGAGCCCGGAGAUGGGCACUGAGACAAGGGCCCAGGCCCUACGGGGCGCAGCAGUCGCGAAAACUUUGCAAUACACGAAAGUGUGACAAGGUCAUCCCGAGUGCCGUCCGCUGAGGAUGGCUUUUACCCAGUGUAAAAAGCUGGGAGAAUAAGGAGAGGGCAAGUCUGGUGUCAGCCGCCGCGGUAAUACCAGCUCUCCGAGUGGUGUGGAUGUUUAUUGGGCCUAAAGCAUUCGUAGCCGGCUGGGCAAGUCCCCUGUUAAAUCCACCGAUUCAAUCGUUGGAAUGCGGGGGAUACUGUUCGGCUAGGGGACGGGAGAGGCCGACGGUAUUUCCGGGGUAGGGGUGAAAUCCUAUAAUCCCGGGAAGACCACCAGUGGCGAAGGCUGUCGGCUAGAACGCGCCCGACGGUGAGGGAUGAAAGCUGGGGGAGCGAACCGGAUUAGAUACCCGGGUAGUCCCAGCUGUAAGGUUUGCACGCUAGGUGUUUGGGCGGCUACGAGCCGCUCUAUUGCCGCAGGGAAGCUGUAGGGCCUGCCGCCUGGGGAGUACGGCCGCAAGGCUGAAACAUAAAGGAAUUGGCGGGGGAACACCCCAAGGGGAAAACAAUGGGGGUUAAUGCGGGAUCACCCCGAA
RNAcentral lists this ribosomal RNA (915 nucleotides) under uncultured archaeon. Its description in RNAcentral is "bacterial SSU rRNA". It matches the Rfam family "Archaeal small subunit ribosomal RNA", at positions 19 to 923 of the family's 1478-position model. The record is from RNAcentral.